This 432-nucleotide ribosomal RNA is filed under the name uncultured bacterium. RNAcentral describes it as "partial 16S ribosomal RNA". It matches the Rfam family "Bacterial small subunit ribosomal RNA", at positions 29 to 506 of the family's 1533-position model. The record is from RNAcentral.
AACGAACGCUGGCGGCAUGCCUAACACAUGCAAGUCGAACGAGACCUUCGGGUCUAGUGGCGCACGGGUGCGUAACGCGUGGGAACCUGCCCUUAGGUUCGGAAUAACUCCCCGAAAGGGGUGCUAAUACCGGAUAAUGUCUUCGGACCAAAGAUUUAUCGCCUUUGGAUGGGCCCGCGUUGGAUUAGCUAGUUGGUAGGGUAAAAGCCUACCAAGGCGACGAUCCAUAGCUGGUCUGAGAGGAUGAUCAGCCACACUGGGACUGAGACACGGCCCAAACCCCUACGGGAGGAAGCAGGGGGGAAUAUUGGAAAAGGGGCGAAAGCCUGAACCGGCAUGGCCGGGGGGGUGAUGAAGGCCUUAGGGUGGUAAAGCUCUUUUACCCGGGAUAAAAAUAACGGUACCGGGAAAAAAAGCCCCGGCAAACUCCGG